AGAGCUGAUGAGUUACUCAUUUGCCCUAGGACAGGGCUACGUGACAAGCAAUGCUUAACUGAGAGAGGAGAGAAAACACCAUAGAAGAGAUUUGGAGUAAGAAGUCCUGGGUGCAGCAGAAGGAAGGGGAAGAAAAAGAGUUGAAAUUUCUGGUGAAAGGGGAAAGGUUUUCUUUUGGGGCCCAGCUUGGGUAGGAUUAAGGGCUAACUGAGGACUGAGAGAUUAGGAAAAAAAAAGGAUGUUUCCUAAAACAUCAUGGCAGUGCUAAUGGAGACAAGAAGAAAGGUUCGAAACUGGAGAGUUAAAAAUGGGAGGAAAUUGUGAUGAAGUGAAUGCGGGGCUUGAGGAAGGGAGGCAUCUAG
This 362-nucleotide long non-coding RNA is filed under the name Homo sapiens (human). RNAcentral's name for it is "HSALNT0134278". The record is from RNAcentral. Lineage: Eukaryota; Metazoa; Chordata; Mammalia; Primates; Hominidae.